GCAUCCGUAGCUCAGCUGGAUAGAUCAGCUGGAUAGAGUACUCGGCUACGAACCGAGCGGUCGGAGGUUCGAAUCCUCCCGGAUGCACCA
This 90-nucleotide transfer RNA is filed under the name Salmonella enterica subsp. enterica serovar Infantis str. 335-3. Its description in RNAcentral is "tRNA-Arg". It matches the Rfam family "tRNA". From Rfam's summary of the family: Transfer RNA (tRNA) molecules are approximately 80 nucleotides in length. Their secondary structure includes four short double-helical elements and three loops (D, anti-codon, and T loops). The record is from RNAcentral. Lineage: Bacteria; Pseudomonadati; Pseudomonadota; Gammaproteobacteria; Enterobacterales; Enterobacteriaceae.